CUGCAUUCUCACAAGCAUUUGAUGUUACUACUGUUUUUAUUUUUUUUAACUCUGAUAGAUGUGUAGUGACACUCAUUGUGGUUUUAAUUUGCAUUUCUCUAAUGACUGAUGAUGUUGAAUAUCUUUUUGUGUGCUUAUUUAUCACCCAUAUGUCCUCUUUAGUGAAAUGUCUUUUACAAUAAAUGAGUUUUUGUAAAUGGCCUAUAUUUAUUUUCAUUUUAGUAAACUGUUUCACGUUAGACCUGUAACCCAAGGAGAUGUGUAUAGAGCUGAAACUGAAGAAAUUCCUAAAAUAUUCCAGAUACUAUAUGCAAAUGAAGGUGAAUGUAGAAAAGAUGUAGAGAUGGAACCAGUACAACAAGCUGAAAAAACUAAUUUCCAAAAUCACAAAGGCCAUGAGUUUAUUCCUACGCUCUACCACUUUCCUGCCAAUUGUGAUGCCUGUGCCAAACCUCUCUGGCAUGUUUUUAAGCCACCCCCUGCCCUAGAGUG
RNAcentral lists this small RNA (492 nucleotides) under Pan troglodytes (chimpanzee). RNAcentral's name for it is "retained intron". Lineage: Eukaryota; Metazoa; Chordata; Mammalia; Primates; Hominidae. The record is from RNAcentral.